This 5422-nucleotide long non-coding RNA is filed under the name Salmo salar (Atlantic salmon). Its description in RNAcentral is "lncRNA (ENSSSAG00000088340.1)". The record is from RNAcentral. Lineage: Eukaryota; Metazoa; Chordata; Actinopteri; Salmoniformes; Salmonidae.
UUGUUCCACAUGUUCUAUUUAUUAGAGUGUCAGUGUGGUCACAGGAGAGUUCCCUGGACAGCCAGGGACCCACAGUCACAGCAGACAUCAAUGUAUUACAUCAUUAACGUAUUACAUCAUCAUGGGCCAUUUAUAGCUCUACGGUCUAAUCUGGCCUUCAUGGGAGUAAAACACACUGAGUUUCAAUAGUCUGAAGCGCAGUCGUCUCCUUGCCUCAUCUCCUCGCCUCCCCUCCUUAGUCUGCACUGAUCUGAAAACUCAUGAUAGAUGAGAACAAUAUGUCCUUUUAUGUCAGUGAAGUAGACUGUUGAGAUGCAGGCACAGUGACAUUACAGUAAGGAAUCAGAGAGCACAGUGGUAAAUCUCCAUCACAGUGAGUUGGGACCAAGCUGGGUAAGGCAAUAGACAGUGGUGGAAAAAGUACUCAAUUGUCAUACUUGAGUAAAAGUGAAGAUAAUAGAAAAUGACUUUAGUAAAAGUCUAAAAGUAUCUGGUUUUAAAUGUCCUUAAGUACAGUGGUGGAAAAAGUACUCAACUGUCGUAAAAAAAAGUCAAUUCAUUUACAAAUGCAGUAUUGUAUUUUCGUGAGUCCGCCAGAUCUGAGGCAGUAGGGAUUACAACGCGUUAUAUUGAUAGGUGUGUGAAUUGGACCAUAUUACUGUCCAGCCUGAGCAUUCAAAAUGUAACUUGUAAUUUUAGGUGUCAGGGAAAAUGUAUGGAGUAAAAAGUACAUUGUUUUAUUUAGGAACGUAAUGGAUAGUCAAAAAUAUAAAUAGUAAAGUACAGAUACCCCCCAAAAAUGACUUAAGUAGUAUUUUAAAGUAUUUUUACUUAAGUACUUUACACCACCGGCAACAGGAAUAGCAAUCUCCUGGCUCUGGGCUCAGCUUGGCGUCAUAUACAAAAGGCAAGGGUGGAGUGGAACUAGGCAAACAUAAACAGGUUAGAUGGGAGGGGUGUGGGAGUGAUUCAGCAUUUGACUAACUACAUGUAACCUUUAUGUCAGACACUAUGCUGUUGAUAUACAGUAUAAUCUGUAUAGUCAUCUGAUUGGUUAGCAGUGCUUUAUAUUUGCCAUAACAUGUAAACAUCUGAGUGUAGCUAGCACUACUAACUUCUUCAUGCAGGAGGCUUCCUAAUACAACGUUCUAGUAUUGGAUUGUAAAAGUAUAGAAAGUAUAAAGAAAUAAAAUGUAAUUUAACGUUUUUAGACAGACAGUAUAAAAUAUAUACAUAUACGUAUCUAGAGAGAGUAGUGCAGUAUGCACAUUCCUCUCUCUCUCUCUCUCUCUCUCUCUCUCUCUCACACACACAUCCACACGCACGUAUACACACACACACACACGUACACGCAUUCACAAGCACUUACACACAUACACAAAUGCAUGCAAGUCCUGAAGAAAGGUUCAGAUCAAUAAUUAGUACUAAACGCAGCUCUACUUCUAACAGACGUCUCCUGAAGUGGUUGUAACAUCUUAGAACGUCUCUAGAAAGCUUUAAAAAAAGAAUAAAAAAAAUACUAUUUUUAAAAUACUAUGUGCAAUAUAGAGCUGCUGCUGUUUGGCUGAGCCAAAGCUCUGAUAUAAAAUACAUUUCUGCUCUCAUGCAUAUACACUGUACAUACCACAAAACUCAGACAGGGAACACACAUCAGAGCUGGAGGCCAGGACAUUACCCCACAUGUCCUUUGGGGGGGGGGCGUGCGUGCGCGCAUGUGUGUAUUGUAUUGUGUGAUAUUGUGGUGCAGGGGUGUCAAACUUUCGGCACAGUUUAAUAUAGUAUGUCUUAUAUAUAAAAAUGUUUGAAAUAUAACCACUUUUCACUGUGGCCCUCCAGAUCUGGGUGAAACCCCAAUGUGGCCCUUGGCCCUCCUGGUAUAGUGUGUGGGUAGUGAGUGACAGUGUGUGGAUCUUUGAGCCUUCUACAGCAUAUUUAGGUCCAGGUAGUGCCCUCCCUGCCUGGUCAGGAGAGGGGGGAAGGGCAUCAGAGCAUCACCGCUGCUGGACUGACCAAUCAUACUGCUCAGUCCAGGCAAUGCCUCCAUAGGACUCUACAGAGAGAGGGAGAGAGGCAGGGAGAGAGAGAGGGCGAGGAAGAUAGAGAGAGGAAGUGAAAAGAGAGAAAACGUCAGUACAAGGAAAGGAGUCCAUGUGGUUUGAAGGUUUCUUGUCCCAGCACCAGAGGAUUCCAUCACCUAGUCCACCAGCUCCCCACCUGACACUAGUACAGCAGUGAUAACACUAUCUAGCACACUACAACGCCCCAGGGAGGAAAGGGGAACACACCAUGGAAGGGCUGAGUCAGACAGCACCAGGUAGAAAUUGACCAUAUAGAACAGGUACAGUUCUAGGUUCCACCAGAGAAUGUGGUUAGAGCGUUGGGCCUGUAACCAAAAUGGUUGCUAGGUCGAAUCCCCGAGCUGACAAGGUAUAAAUCUGUCGUUCUGCCCCUGAACAAGGCGGUUAACCCACUGUUCCUUGGCCAUCAUUGUAAAUAAGAAUUUGUUCUUAACUGACUUACCUAGUUAAAUAAAAUAAAAAUCUGAUCCUAGAUCUGAGGUUAGGAUUGGGUGUGUGGUGUAUUCUGAUCCUAGAGGUUCGGAUUGGGUUUGUGGGGUAAUCUGAUCUGCACUGUAAAAAUACUGAUGUCAAGAAGGAAAUCAGCUGGAAUAGGAUUGUGAGUUUUCUCAACAAGAAUGUUGUUUAACAAACUCACAAUCCUAUUGCAGCUGGUUGCCACAGAUCUAGGAUCAGAUUAUCCAACUCACUCAAUCCUAACCACAGAUCUAGGAUCAGAUUACCACACACACACACACACACACACACACACAAUCCAAAUGUGAACCAUCAGGGGGUAAAAGACAUCUGAUCCUGGACCAGUGGUUGGGGGGGAACUUCUACUCUGUGUCCCGAUCAACACAACAUUCUCUGUUGGAACCAUCAUCUUUUUUUACAGUGUGUGGUUUGGGGCAUUAAAAUCCCCCCUAGCUAGACUCUACCCCGUGACCCCCUAGUAACCCGGAAUCUCAAACCACACCCACAACCACGUCGUCCCGGAGACGAAGGAAAGGAGAAACACGCCCCAUGACCCUGUCAGCCAAUCCUUACCUUCCGCCUGCCUAGGACACACCCCUUAAAUACACACCCACUCUUUGGGCUGCAUGAGCAGGGUCCGGGAGGGAUCGUGAUCGUGCAUGUUAGCAUGAGCGUGCACAAGGCCAUCCUCAGUAGCGUACUAUAGUGUUGAAGGGGACAGAGACACAGCGGACUGAGACAGAGACAGGCUGGGCUGUGUGUUCAGAAGAGUCAGCCUUUACAAGAUGCUUACUGCUGAUUUAUCUACAGUAUAUAGUAUCACCUCAACUUCCAAACUAAUGUUCAUGAGCACAGGCUGAACUCACUGGCUAUUUCCUAGUGUAUCAGUGAGGAGCAGCCUCUUGUAAAUCAAGUCCAUGCAGGCAGUGGAGAUCCACCCAACAGAAUGCCUGUGGGUGUUUGUGAGGGAGGGAACAGAACAGGAAGGGUAGACUUGACUAACUUGUUUGAUAGCCUCCAGGCAGACACAGUGGAUACCUGACAGUGUAGUACACUCCUCCAUUAGCAGAUUUGAAUACUUCCUUUGGAUCGACCGUGAGACAUGAGAGGACACGGCAACACAUACUAUACCGGUCACCUUACACACACACACACACUUUCUCUAACACACAUGAACGUACACACAGUCUUGUAUAUCUAAGCGUGUGGGGACACACAACUCAGUCUCAUUCAAAAUCCUAUUUUUCCUAACCCCUAAACCUACCCUAACCUUAACCCUAACCUUAACGCCGAAACCUAACCCCUAACCCUAAAACUAACCCUAGCUCCUAAACCUAAACCUAAUUCUAACAUGCUGACCAGACCGGGCAUGUCGCGUGCGCGAGCGUCGCAAAAUAAAUUUAGAAAUCCAUGUUAUUCAAUUAUUGCACCCACACUGCUCGCGCGCGCCAACGAGCGUCUGCGAUGCCAAGGGCUAAAAUAGAACUCCUUUCUAUUUCUGACGCAGAUCGCGCUGCAAGUCCUGCCUCUCCCAUCUCCUCAUUGGUUUAUAGAAGCAGGUACCCACGUGCCAUCUCCUCAUUGGUUAUACCCACAUGGGUGAUUGAAAGACGAACUGUUUUGCUGGUUGUCGUGGUAAUACUAUGAAAGUGUAGAUGCCAAUCACCAUAUAAAUUCAAAGAUGAAAAAGCCUGGAAGGAGGAGAGAUGACUAGAAACAUUUACAUUUACAAUUCGGUUGGCCGUUUUAUGUGUGGAUUAAUUGUCGGAGUAGAGGACCUUGUGCAUUUCAGGUAAAAUAACAACUCAAUGUUUAUAUCCCAGGACAAAUUAGCUAGCAACAGCAAGCUAGCUAAAUAGGACAAAUUAGCUAGCAAGUGCAAGCUAACUAGCUAAAUUGCCAUACAUGUUUAAUGCUUUUCGACAUGUCCCCAAAUUAAUGUCAUUGGUUCAGAGUUUGUUUUGCUUUUUUAACCUGCGUGUCGUGAUCGCGUUUGGUGUAGGGGGACAAAAUAAAUGUAUGCACGAUGGUGCACGUGCGCAGCCGGUUUGGGUUCCGUGUUACCCUAACAAUAAACCUCCUAGAAAUAGCAUUUCACCUUGUGGGGACUAACAACAUGUUUGUUUACUAUUCUUGUGGGGACUUCUCUUCCCCACAAGUAUAGUUAAACACGUCCAAGUGCACACACACACACACACACACACACACACACACACACACACACACACACACACACACACACACACACACACACACACACACUGUUUACCUGGUAUCCCUGAAUGGUGUUGAGCAGUUCUUUAUAGGCGAGGCCAUGCAUACGGACCACUCCCCCAGGGGAGGGCAGGGGGGUGGGGGAGGGGUAGUACCCUAUAGUGUUGGGAGAACCUGGGGGGCUGGAGAGAGGGAGGGGAGAAGAGAGGAGAGGAGAGAGAGAGGGUGAGAAGAGAGGAGAGAGAGAGGGAGAAGAGAGGAGAGAGGGUGAGGAGAGAGAUAGGGUGAGAAGAGAGGAGAGAGAGGGAGAAGAAAGUGUGAAGCGAGGAGAGAGAGGGGGAGAGGAGAGAGAGAGGGAGAAGAGAGGAGAGAGAGGACAGAGAGAGGGAGAAGAGCGUGAGAAGAGAGGAGAGAGAGAGGGCGAAGAGAGGAAAGAGGGAGAAGAGAGUGAGAAGAGAGGAGAGAGAGGGUGAGAAGAGAGUGAGGGGGAGAUAUAAGGAGUGAGUUGGAGAGGCCAUAACAAACAGAGCAUUAUACAUCCUGAAAUGACAUGAGGUGUGUGUGCUUAGAGUCAUACAGUAAAUAUCUGUUAAUAAGGAAAAAACACACAAUUUCACAUGUGGAAAAUCAUGUGAAAAUGUGUUUUUUGUAACACUUCAUGUGUUUUCACUUGU